CCUGGGCUACACACGUGCUACAAUGGCCGGUACAAAGGGCUGCAAGACCGUGAGGUUGAGCGAAUCCCAGAAAGCCGGUCUCAGUUCGGAUUGGAGUCUGCAACUCGACUCCAUGAAGUUGGAAUCGCUAGUAAUCGCGGAUCAGCAUGCCGCGGUCGAAUACGUUCCCGGGCCUU
RNAcentral lists this ribosomal RNA (176 nucleotides) under uncultured Desulfuromonas sp. RNAcentral's name for it is "partial 16S ribosomal RNA". It matches the Rfam family "Bacterial small subunit ribosomal RNA", at positions 1208 to 1382 of the family's 1533-position model. The record is from RNAcentral. Lineage: Bacteria; Pseudomonadati; Thermodesulfobacteriota; Desulfuromonadia; Desulfuromonadales; Desulfuromonadaceae.